UACGUAGGGGGCGAGCGUUGUCCGGAUUCAUUGGGCGUAAAGCGCGCGUAGGCGGCUCGGAAAGUCGGUCGUGAAAUGCCGGGGCUCAACCCCGGGACUGCGUCCGAUACUUCCGGGGCUGGAGGUAGGUAGGGGAGAUCGGAAUUCCUGGUGUAGCGGUGAAAUGCGCAGAUAUCAGGAGGAACACCGGUGGCGAAGGCGGAUCUCUGGGCCUUACCUGACGCUGAGGCGCGAAAGCGUGGGGAGCAAACAGG
This 254-nucleotide ribosomal RNA is filed under the name uncultured bacterium. RNAcentral's name for it is "partial 16S ribosomal RNA". It matches the Rfam family "Bacterial small subunit ribosomal RNA", at positions 524 to 776 of the family's 1533-position model. The record is from RNAcentral.